GCUGGGUGUGGUGGCACCUGCCUGUAAUCCCAGCAGCUCAGGAGGCUGAGGCAGGAGGAUCACGAUUUCAAAGCCAGCCUGUGAGGUGCUAAGCAACUCAGUGAGACCCUGUCUCUA
Molecule: small RNA, 117 nt
Filed under: Marmota monax (woodchuck)
Lineage: Eukaryota; Metazoa; Chordata; Mammalia; Rodentia; Sciuridae
Source: RNAcentral